RNAcentral lists this ribosomal RNA (441 nucleotides) under uncultured bacterium. RNAcentral describes it as "partial 16S ribosomal RNA". It matches the Rfam family "Bacterial small subunit ribosomal RNA", at positions 338 to 795 of the family's 1533-position model. The record is from RNAcentral.
CCUACGGGUGGCAGCAGUGGGGAAUAUUGCACAAUGGGGGAAACCCUGAUGCAGCAACGCCGCGUGAAGGAAGACGGUUUUCGGAUUGUAAACUUCUGUUCUUAGUGAAGAAUAAUGACGGUAGCUAAGGAGCAAGCCACGGCUAACUACGUGCCAGCAGCCGCGGUAAUACGUAGGUGGCAAGCGUUGUCCGGAAUUACUGGGUGUAAAGGGUGCGCAGGCGGGAAGCCAAGUCAGCUGUGAAAACUACGGGCUUAACUUGUAGACUGCAGUUGAAACUGGGGAGCUUGAGUGGGCGAGAAGUAUGCGGAAUGCGUGGUGUAGCGGUGAAAUGCAUAGAUAUCACGCAGAACUCCGAUUGCGAAGGCAGUAUACCGGCGCCCGACUGACGCUGAGGCACGAAAGCGUGGGGAGCGAACAGGAUUAGAUACCCGGGUAGUC